Molecule: long non-coding RNA, 303 nt
Organism: Dioscorea cayenensis subsp. rotundata (Guinea yam)
Lineage: Eukaryota; Viridiplantae; Streptophyta; Magnoliopsida; Dioscoreales; Dioscoreaceae
Exons: 3
Source: RefSeq, a predicted model, not a curated record
GUGCAACCAAUUUUUUUGCUCUCCAAACUCUCUUAUCCUUGAAACGACUCAACCUUGGCCGAAUUUUGGUGUCAUUUUCUUUUCUUUUUAUGCUUGGUUUUUUUGAGUGGAACUUGUCACCAACAAGCUUAGAGAUCCAUACCGAGCUGUAGUUCGCGGGACUUGGUGAACCCAACUCUGUAGCUCGAGGCCAGGGUUGACUCUGACCAGGUUUUUAGCUGAGGCCUUGCACCCAGUGGGGCCCAGUCCCAUUGGAUGCGGCCGAUCUGUCCGCGGGCCCGGCUGUGGGGCUGGGACGUGACA